CACAACCCUCCUGGCCAUAGC
RNAcentral lists this unclassified non-coding RNA (21 nucleotides) under Mus musculus (house mouse). RNAcentral's name for it is "oocyte_clustered_small_RNA2846". The record is from RNAcentral. Lineage: Eukaryota; Metazoa; Chordata; Mammalia; Rodentia; Muridae.